Molecule: long non-coding RNA, 426 nt
Filed under: Sus scrofa (pig)
Lineage: Eukaryota; Metazoa; Chordata; Mammalia; Artiodactyla; Suidae
Description: lncRNA (ENSSSCG00060058901.1)
Source: RNAcentral
CAAGUAGUUGAGUUAUUACAUUUGGUUAAGUUAAAUAAAAUCUUUUGGCAUCAUAUUGCUUAAUUGAAUAAUUGAUUGAAAUUAUCCAUUUUUCACAGCAUUGUAGAAUCUCAGAGCUAAAGAAGAAGCCAGAAAAUUAUCAGUUUGCUCAUCUCAACAUCUAAAAUGCUUGUUGCUUCAAAUAUACUGUGGAUCAAUCCAUAGAAAACUUCAGUGGAAGAUGGCUAAAAAUUCUACCUGUGAUGAAGACAGAUAAUCGAGAGGAUUGUGAAACGAGGUUAUAGACUGCGGCUGAGCCUUGGAGAGGCUGUUGACUGGGGAGCAGCUAUGGAAUCCUAGUGAACCACUAACAGUGAGCGAUCAAUCAACACUUUGAAAGCUUCAGGUUUAUCCCAAUACCUGGGAGCUGCUUUGAUAAACAGUAUU